This 1251-nucleotide ribosomal RNA is filed under the name Massilia sp. Its description in RNAcentral is "bacterial SSU rRNA". It matches the Rfam family "Bacterial small subunit ribosomal RNA", at positions 28 to 1240 of the family's 1533-position model. Lineage: Bacteria; Pseudomonadati; Pseudomonadota; Betaproteobacteria; Burkholderiales; Oxalobacteraceae. The record is from RNAcentral.
AUUGUCUACUUGUGACGUCUUUUCCUUGCAGUCGACGGCAGCGCGGGGCAACCUGGCGGCGAGUGGCGAACGGGUGAGUAAUAUAUCGGAACGUACCCAGAAGUGGGGGAUAACGUAGCGAAAGUUACGCUAAUACCGCAUACGAUCUACGGAUGAAAGUGGGGGACCUUCGGGCCUCAUGCUUGUGGAGCGGCCGAUAUCUGAUUAGCUAGUAGGUAGGGUAAAGGCCUACCUAGGCGACGAUCAGUAGCUGGUCUGAGAGGACGACCAGCCACACUGGGACUGAGACACGGCCCAGACUCCUACGGGAGGCAGCAGUGGGGAAUUUUGGACAAUGGGCGCAAGCCUGAUCCAGCAAUGCCGCGUGAGUGAAGAAGGCCUUCGGGUUGUAAAGCUCUUUUGUCAGGGAAGAAACGGCUCCGGCUAAUAUCUGGGGCUAAUGACGGUACCUGAAGAAUAAGCACCGGCUAACUACGUGCCAGCAGCCGCGGUAAUACGUAGGGUGCAAGCGUUAAUCGGAAUUACUGGGCGUAAAGCGUGCGCAGGCGGUUUUGUAAGUCUGUCGUGAAAGCCCCGGGCUCAACCUGGGAAUUGCGAUGGAGACUGCAAGGCUUGAAUCUGGCAGAGGGGGGUAGAAUUCCACGUGUAGCAGUGAAAUGCGUAGAGAUGUGGAGGAACACCGAUGGCGAAGGCAGCCCCCUGGGUCAAGAUUGACGCUCAUGCACGAAAGCGUGGGGAGCAAACAGGAUUAGAUACCCUGGUAGUCCACGCCCUAAACGAUGUCUACUAGUUGUCGGGUUUUAAUUAACUUGGUAACGCAGCUAACGCGUGAAGUAGACCGCCUGGGGAGUACGGUCGCAAGAUUAAAACUCAAAGGAAUUGACGGGGACCCGCACAAGCGGUGGAUGAUGUGGAUUAAUUCGAAUGCAACGCGAAAAACCUUACCUACCCUUUGACAUGGAAGGGAAAUCCUGAAGAGAUUUGGGAGUGCCCGAAAGGGGAGCCUUUCACACAGGUUGCUUGCAUGGGCUGUCGUCAGCUUCGUGUCAUGAGAUGUUGGGGUUUAAGUUCCCCGCAAACGAGCGCAAUCCCUUGAUCAUUAGUUUGGCUACGGCAAGGAGCUACUUCUUAAUUGAGACUGUCCGGUUGAACAAACCCGGUGAGGACGGGUUGGGGUAUGACGUCAGUUCCUCUAUGAGCUCUUUUAUGUGGGCUAUGGGAGCGUAUCACUACUCACCCAAUCCAUGAUUA